Long non-coding RNA from Papaver somniferum (opium poppy), 670 nucleotides. RefSeq lists it as uncharacterized. Lineage: Eukaryota; Viridiplantae; Streptophyta; Magnoliopsida; Ranunculales; Papaveraceae. The record is from RefSeq and is a predicted model, not a curated record. The transcript is spliced from 2 exons.
UUAUCUCUCCUCUUUGUAACCAUUAGUGAAAUUGAAGCAUGAAGGAAAAUAUAUAGUUUCAAGUACAAAAAAAGAUCUACCCCAUCAUUUCAUUUCCUUCUUCUUCUCCCUUUUUUGAUAAACAAUUUUCCCCUCUCUUUUUCUUAAUCCAUUUUCUUAUUAGGUCUUGAUAUGGAAAUCUUGAUUUAAGCCAUGGCCGACGAAGAACAAAUGCGCGAUAAAAUUUCUCAGCUACAUCGAAGAGUUCCUAAAGAGUAAAGACUGUUCUCAAACAUUGUCCGGGUCGGGUCGGGUAUCCAAAACGGGAUGAUAGCCUGCACUCACAGAUGACUCUGUUUUUUCCCGUUCCCAUAAAAUUCAUUUUUUAAAGUAUGAAUCUGUUCGGAUUAAAACAGUUUAAAUGUUCAACCACUUAAGUAGGAAAGAAACAACUUCUUGAAUUGUGAAUUUUGUCGAAAUCGACUCAAUCAGAGGAUAAAAUUACUGAAAGGGGGACCCAUGCUGCUCCUUUUUAAUGAAAUUGAAGUAGAGUUUGUUGAUAUUCACUGUUUUAGAUUGAUUUUUCAAAAUAAAUUUUUUUUCUUGAACAAAAAUGAUACUAAAAUUGAUCGAUUCUGAUCGAAUCAAUGUAGUUUUUGAUGUAAUUUGAACAUGUAAUUUUUCUUUCGUA